GUGACAAUAAAUAACAAUAUAGGGCCCUUUCGGGUCUUAUGAUUGGAAUGAGAACAAUUUAAAUCCCUUAACGAGGAACAAUUGGAGGGCAAGUCUGGUGCCAGCAGCCGCGGUAAUUCCAGCUCCAAUAGCGUAUAUUAAAGUUGUUGCAGUUAAAAAGCUCGUAGUUGAACUUCAGAUCUGGCCGGAUGGUCUGCCUCACGGUAUGUACUGUCUUCGGCCGGGUCUUACCUCUUGGUGAGCCAUCAUGCCCUUUACUGGGUGUGGUGGGGAACCAGGACUUUUACCUUGAGAAAAUUAGAGUGUUCAAAGCAGGCAUAUGCCCGAAUACAUUAGCAUGGAAUAAUAAAAUAGGACGUGCGGUUCUAUUUUGUUGGUUUCUAGAGUCGCCGUAAUGAUUAAUAGGGAUAGUUGGGGGCAUUAGUAUUCAGUUGCUAGAGGUGAAAUUCUUGGAUUUACUGAAGACUAACUACUGCGAAAGCAUUUGCCAAGGAUGUUUUCAUUAAUCAAGAACGAAGGUUAGGGGAUCGAAAACGAUCAGAUACCGUUGUAGUCUUAACAGUAAACUAUGCCGACUAGGGAUCGGGUGAACUCAAUUUUAUGUGGCACUCGGCACCUUACGAGAAAUCAA
RNAcentral lists this ribosomal RNA (631 nucleotides) under Hydnellum atrorubrum. RNAcentral's name for it is "SSU rRNA". It matches the Rfam family "Eukaryotic small subunit ribosomal RNA", at positions 467 to 1101 of the family's 1831-position model. The record is from RNAcentral. Lineage: Eukaryota; Fungi; Basidiomycota; Agaricomycetes; Thelephorales; Thelephoraceae.